AAAUCUGGAACAGAUGAAUCAACGAUCAAUACAUGUGAACAUAAUUUAGGAUAUUUAAACUUUUUGAAUAUCAAAUUUUAUAAUUUUUCGACAUCAUCUACUUAGAAAUUAAGCGACCACAAAACUAAUAAUUUUAACGAUCUAUAUGAGGUGGUUUUUGUUUAACAGUAUUGAACAGUUAAAUUAAAAAUAAAGGUAAUAAAUUAGGUCACAUGUGAAUAGGUCUAAACCUAUGCUUUACUACUCAGUAACGGUGCCGACACUCUAUUUCAUCAUUGACCUUACGUAGCAUAGUUGGCUAAAAUCGUAAUGAUUAGUAAUGAAAAUUUAAAUUUCAAAUUUAAAAUCUAAUUAUUUUAUGUUAUCUAAAUAAAUUAAUUUUUUAAAAAAUAAAGAGAAAAUUUCAAAUACCCCCUCUGUGGUUUCGCACUCUCUCAUUUUAGUACCCUGUGAUUUAAAGUAUAUCAAGUUAGUACUCUAUGGUUUCGCACUCUCUCACUUUAGUACCCUGUGGUUUAAAGUAUAUCAAGUUAGUACUCUAUGGUUUCGCACUUUCUCACUUUAGUAUCAUGUGGUUUAAAGUGUAUCAAGUUAGUACUCUGUGGUUUUAUUUUUGUAUCAAGUUAGUACCCUGUGGUUUUAUUUUUCUCUUUUUAUUAUCCAUUCGGGUUUUUUUUUUUGUUAAAUCAGUGACAAAGUUAAAACUAAAGGAUGCUAAAAUAAAUAUUCGAUAAACCUAGGUAGGGUAUAGGAAGUUUUCUGUAUAUAAUUUAACGAAAUAUUAAACCACAGGGUACUAAAGUGAGAAAGUGCGAAACCACAGGAUACUAAUUUGAUACACUUUAAACCACAGAGUACUAAAGUGAGAAAGUGCAAAACCACAUGCGGGU
Molecule: long non-coding RNA, 890 nt
Filed under: Ananas comosus (pineapple)
Lineage: Eukaryota; Viridiplantae; Streptophyta; Magnoliopsida; Poales; Bromeliaceae
Description: long non-coding RNA (ACOM_LNC032365)
Source: RNAcentral